This is a long non-coding RNA of Daphnia pulex (common water flea), 2020 nucleotides long. RefSeq lists it as uncharacterized. The record is from RefSeq and is a predicted model, not a curated record. The transcript is spliced from 7 exons. Lineage: Eukaryota; Metazoa; Arthropoda; Branchiopoda; Diplostraca; Daphniidae.
ACUGCGACUGUGACUUCGGGGUGUUAUGUUAUUGUAACUGUCUCUGCGUUGUGUAAAAUAAAGCAGUUUUCAUUCUAAUUUUACGAAAUUUGCUCUAGAGACCAUGAAUCGGAAGGAUUCUCGAAUUGUGAACUUCCUCGAAAGCCCCAUUGUUUACACCAUUGUUAUUGUGACUAGUUUUCAACCUCCUUUGCAUGGCUGAAACCUCAAUGAGGAGGAAGGAGUUCAGGGGUAUGCAAGUAGCAGGAAAGACCUGGACAGUUUACUGGACAACAAAAGGUCAACAGCACACAAGCCAUUGUGGAACGGUGGGAGAGGUCUGUGAGGGACGACCAAGAGGAAUUAGAAAGAGCCAAACAGGCAGAAGAAAAACAAUUGAGUGAAAUUGGUAAAGAAAUUAAGAAGGUGGAAGAAAUGAAAUCGAUGCGAAUGUGUCAAAAGAACGACCUAGACAAUAUGCAUGAAGGUAUGGCCUUGGCUUGACGAGAUAUGGGAGCAGUAACAAAAGACCUGCUGAACAUUCAGAAGUCUAUAACUAGUUUAGAAGCGAAUAUUGAAAAAAAGAAGUGAAAGGCACAGCAUUUUAAAUAAAUCAAAGAUGGAAGAUAUCGUUAUUCCGAUGUCGCUUGGUAACAUGGAAGACAUUGGGCAAGAUAGUAAUAUGCUACCGGAAGUAUGAAUAGCGAGUAUGUCACAACCAGUGGUAGCGAUUCAGUUAGCAUUCCACAAAAAUCUCAAUAGAUAUAUGAGAGAGAAGAAAGAAUUGUUGUCGACUAUUCUAAUCUACCUGACAAGUAUAAAAAUCUUCUUGUAUCGGAUGAAAUACGCCGUGAAGGUGAUCUCCUAGAACGUCGCGUGAACGAGUUGAGCCGUACAGUUCAGCAUAUUUAAGCCCCUAAUAUGCGGGCUGUGGAAAAAUUAGACUUGGCAGGAGAAAAACUACAAGGGACCAACACAGAGUUUGAAAGACUCGCGCCAAAACCAAGAAAGCUCAACAGGCAUUUGAAAGAGUAAAACAAGAGCACUUUGAUCUCUUUAUGUCUUGUUUGAACACGAUUUGAAUAAAAUCGAUGGCAUUUAUAAUUCGUUGGCGAGGAACAAUUCUGCUCAAGCCGUUUACCCCAGCCGUCAGAGCGCCCCUAUCGGCCUGACGGUGCAAUAGCGCAAAACCUCAUUCGAGCUGCACCGUCAGCCUGACGGUGCAAUAGAAUUUUCGCCUACGCCGGAUCUAUGCAGACGCACCUACCCCCUAUCACAUCACAACACUGCCUAAUUCCAGAAUUCUUCCAAGAAAGCUCUGUGACUUAGCCGAAGGCCAACGCUUGCAACGCGAGCCCUAGUUAUUUUUUCAGCGUUGCCACAGAGCUAAGCUCCAACCACUACAGACUCCCUUUUAGUCCCAAUUAACCCCACAUUAACGUCCCAAAUAUCCCCCCUAAAACGCUUUUGGGAAAACUUGAAUUAUUAAACACAUGUUUGAAGUAAGAAAUUUUAUUUUUGGGGGGAUUUAAGAUAAAAGCUGUAUCUAAACUUUCGCUAUUUCACUUUAUUUUUUUAAAAAAUUUAUAAAUUUUUAGUAAAGUGAGAAAAGGAACGUAUGAAAAAAAAUGGGGCCUUUCCAAUUUUCCCUUUUCUUCCCUUGGGCCGAUUCUCUGAAGAUUUGGUCGAGAAAACAGUAAACAACAGGGGAAACAUUUAAAUUUAACAGAUUUUAUUUUAAAUAGGUUACCAAAAUUGUUACUAAAAUGUAGCUUGUUCAAUUACCUUUCACAUUAAAUUAUUCCAAGUUGUCUUCUGUUAACUGGGAACGUUUCACGAAUAUUUUUUCGUGACACCCGGCGAUAACCUCUUUUUCCCCUAUUCGAAUAUCACUCAAGAGAAACACGAACAAGAGGGAAGCAUAGCGGAUUCCACAGGAGUGCGUUCACAAACCAGGGGGGUACACGUCAUGAUCUUUCUCUAUUUUAGAUCCUCUUAUUCUGUUUCAGUUUUUUAGAAUAAAUUCCUAUUCUGGUUUGAA